RNAcentral lists this microRNA (21 nucleotides) under Gallus gallus (chicken). Its description in RNAcentral is "gga-miR-1700". Lineage: Eukaryota; Metazoa; Chordata; Aves; Galliformes; Phasianidae. The record is from miRBase by way of RNAcentral.
CAUCAGAGGGAUAGGAUGGAC